RNAcentral lists this transfer RNA (71 nucleotides) under Physcomitrium patens. RNAcentral's name for it is "Physcomitrella patens tRNA". It matches the Rfam family "tRNA". Rfam says of the family: Transfer RNA (tRNA) molecules are approximately 80 nucleotides in length. Their secondary structure includes four short double-helical elements and three loops (D, anti-codon, and T loops). The record is from Rfam by way of RNAcentral. Lineage: Eukaryota; Viridiplantae; Streptophyta; Bryopsida; Funariales; Funariaceae.
GGCUAAAUAAUAGAGAGGUAAUGUAUUGGAUUGCAAAUCCUAGAAAGAUGGUUCAAAUCUGUCCAUUGCCU